GUUUAAUACAUCUGUAGGAGAAUUGACUUGUUUAGGGCAGAAAGCCUAUAAUAACGAUACAAAGGAUACUAUUUGGUGGUCAGCUUCAAAUGUCUCGGAACCUACUAAACAAUUUGCCAAUUACACUAAUUUGAAAGAGGUAUGGUUUGAUUUAUCUGCUACAUCCAAUUGGAGAGCCCCAGCAAAAUUGUACUGGAUUUGUGGUAAGAAGGCAUAUUCGGAGUUACCACAAGACUGGGAAGGGGCAUGUGUACUAGGUAUGCUCAAACCAUCCUUCUUCUUGUUGCCAAUUGAAACAGGAGAG
Non-coding RNA from Pelobates cultripes (western spadefoot toad), 304 nucleotides. NCBI's taxonomy places the organism in Eukaryota, Metazoa, Chordata, Amphibia, Anura, Pelobatidae. The record is from the annotation of a GenBank genome assembly.